RNAcentral lists this ribosomal RNA (433 nucleotides) under uncultured bacterium. Its description in RNAcentral is "partial 16S ribosomal RNA". It matches the Rfam family "Bacterial small subunit ribosomal RNA", at positions 29 to 507 of the family's 1533-position model. The record is from RNAcentral.
AACGAACGCUGGCGGCAUGCCUAACACAUGCAAGUCGAACGAGACCUUCGGGUCUAGUGGCGCACGGGUGCGUAACGCGUGGGAACCUUCCCUUAGGUUCGGAAUAACUCCCCGAAAGGGGUGCUUAUACCGGAUAAUGUCUUCGGACCAAAGAUUUAUCGACUUUGGUUGGGCCCGAGUUGGAUUAGCUAGUUGGUAGGGUAAUAGCCUACCAAGGCGACGAUCCAUAGCUGGUCUGAGAGGAUGAUCAGCCACACUGGGACUGAGACCCGGCCCAGACUCCUACGGGAGGCAGCAGUGGGGAAUAUUGGACAAUGGGCGAAAGCCUGAUCCAGCAAUGCCGCGUGAGUGAUGAAGGCAUUAGGGUUGUAAAGCUCUUCUACCCGGGAUGAUAAUGACAGUACCGGGAGAAUAAGCUCCGGCUAACUCCGUG